ACAAAGACAAACCUGUGUGCCUUGCUGAUA
Molecule: non-coding RNA, 30 nt
Filed under: Mus musculus (house mouse)
Lineage: Eukaryota; Metazoa; Chordata; Mammalia; Rodentia; Muridae
Source: RNAcentral